Molecule: ribosomal RNA, 542 nt
Filed under: uncultured bacterium
Lineage: Bacteria
Description: partial 16S ribosomal RNA
Rfam family: Bacterial small subunit ribosomal RNA
Source: RNAcentral
UGGGGAAUUUUGGACAAUGGGCGAAAGCCUGAUCCAGCAAUGCCGCGUGUGUGAAGAAGGCCUUCGGGUUGUAAAGCACUUUUGUCCGGAAAGAAAUCCUUGGCUCUAAUACAGUCGGGGGAUGACGGUACCGGAAGAAUAAGCACCGGCUAACUACGUGCCAGCAGCCGCGGUAAUACGUAGGGUGCAAGCGUUAAUCGGAAUUACUGGGCGUAAAGCGUGCGCAGGCGGUUUGCUAAGACCGAUGUGAAAUCCCCGGGCUCAACCUGGGAACUGCAUUGGUGACUGGCAGGCUAGAGUAUGGCAGAGGGGGGUAGAAUUCCACGUGUAGCAGUGAAAUGCGUAGAGAUGUGGAGGAAUACCGAUGGCGAAGGCAGCCCCCUGGGCCAAUACUGACGCUCAUGCACGAAAGCGUGGGGAGCAAACAGGAUUAGAUACCCUGGUAGUCCACGCCCUAAACGAUGUCAACUAGUUGUUGGGGAUUCAUUCCUUAGUAACGUAGCUAACGCGUGAGGUUGACCGCCUGGGGAGUACGGUCGCAA